RNAcentral lists this long non-coding RNA (667 nucleotides) under Olea europaea (common olive). RNAcentral's name for it is "long non-coding RNA (OEUR_LNC001343)". Lineage: Eukaryota; Viridiplantae; Streptophyta; Magnoliopsida; Lamiales; Oleaceae. The record is from RNAcentral.
CACGAACUUGGUUCUAGAAUAUUUUUGGUCCCUCAUCUGAGAAUGGUCAACUUCAGCUUCAACGGUGGUUCUUGAACUUUGGCGUCUCAAACAUUUCCAUUUUGUUGUUGUUGUGUUAUAUUUUUUAGCAUGAACUUCCUCCCAGCUUCUGUCAGUCCGUCAGUCAACAACACUGCUGAAUAUAUUGUGAAUUGCACAUUCCUUUCUAGUUCCAGUCUUGCUAAAACAUCAUUUUCCCCCAUCUUUGAUGGCUAAAGCGGUCACCUUCUUCAGAGUCAUAAAUGUAUUUAUUGCUUUUACAUGACUGACUACCACUAUUUUUCUCUCUUCCAUGCUAGAAAAUAGUACUAAAAUCAUCCUAGACUUUCCAGGUCAAAAUGUAUUGGGUAAGAAAAUGCUCCUAAAUGAAGAAUAAAAUUACAAAAGCAAUGUACUGAACCCUCAAUUUAUGCCUUAAUGAUGUUCUGAAGGGAGAUCAAUUAAAAAUCCCGAAGUAAACAAAUGAAUACAACUAUCCAUUAAUCAACCAAGUACUGCAAACAGAGGAUAAUGCAUAUGAAACUUCCCACACUUGUCCCUAUCAAUGUUCCCUUGCAUAUCUUGAGGAGUCCUAUGUUAACGUCGAGUUCUAUGAGCCUUGUUUAACAAGAAUGUGCUCAAUAUCAUG